CCGCGUGAAUGAUGAAGGCCUUAGGGUUGUAAAAUUCUUUCGCCAGGGAUGAUAAUGACAGUACCUGGUAAAGAAGCCCCGGCUAACUUCGUGCCAGCAGCCGCGGUAAUACGAAGGGGGCUAGCGUUGUUCGGAAUUACUGGGCGUAAAGCGCACGUAGGCGGACUUUUAAGUCAGAUGUGAAAUCCCGGGGCUCAACCUCGGAACUGCAUUUGAAACUGGAAGUCUAGAGACCAGGAGAGGUUAGCGGAAUACCGAGUGUAGAGGUGAAAUUCGUAGAUAUUCGGUGGAACACCAGUGGCGAAGGCGGCUAACUGGACUGGUACUGACGCUGAGGUGCGAAAGUGUGGGGAGCAAACAGGAUUAGAUACCCUGGUAGUCCACACCGUAAACGAUGAGAGCUAGUUGUUGGCAGGCAUGCCUGUCGGUGACGCAGCUAACGCAUUAAGCUCUCCGCCUGGGGAGUACGGUCGCAAGAUUAAAA
This 484-nucleotide ribosomal RNA is filed under the name Hyphomonas sp. RNAcentral describes it as "bacterial SSU rRNA". It matches the Rfam family "Bacterial small subunit ribosomal RNA", at positions 397 to 899 of the family's 1533-position model. The record is from RNAcentral. Lineage: Bacteria; Pseudomonadati; Pseudomonadota; Alphaproteobacteria; Hyphomonadales; Hyphomonadaceae.